Molecule: signal recognition particle RNA, 303 nt
Filed under: Brassica napus (rape)
Lineage: Eukaryota; Viridiplantae; Streptophyta; Magnoliopsida; Brassicales; Brassicaceae
Description: SRP RNA Plant_SRP
Rfam family: Plant signal recognition particle RNA
Source: Rfam by way of RNAcentral
GUCGAGCUAAGCAACGAGAGCUUGCGACCCGAGUGGGGACAAUAAGAUGGUGGAACACUGGUUUGGUCCACGGGUCGGGUCUGGUUGGCAAGUUUCUGAGCAGCCCAGUCCAAGCUGAGAGUUAUCUGUCUGGUUUGAGCGAAGGCUCGAAUCAGGUGGGUGCUAAAGUCGGAGGGUAAUGCGUCAGGCUGGUUUCACAGAGCAGCGACUACUUCCCGCUCUCUGCAGUGGACGGAUAACGGCUCGGCGCCACUCAGACCUGCUAUGGCCUGCUGGUUCGUUCUCAGCUGAACCACCAAUUUU